This is a non-coding RNA of Aulographum hederae CBS 113979, 89 nucleotides long. Lineage: Eukaryota; Fungi; Ascomycota; Dothideomycetes; Aulographales; Aulographaceae. The record is from the annotation of a GenBank genome assembly.
GCCUCCUUGGCGCAGUGGUAACGCGUCGCACUUGUACUGCAAGCAACAAGACUAUGCGAAGAUCACAGGUUCAAUUCCUGUAGGUGGCA